Molecule: ribosomal RNA, 433 nt
Filed under: uncultured bacterium
Lineage: Bacteria
Description: partial 16S ribosomal RNA
Rfam family: Bacterial small subunit ribosomal RNA
Source: RNAcentral
AGCGAACGCUGGCGGCAUGCCUAACACAUGCAAGUCGAACGAGACCUUCGGGUCUAGUGGCGCACGGGUGCGUAACGCGUGGGAACCUGCCCUUAGGUUCGGAAUAACUCCCCGAAAGGGGUGCUAAUACCGGAUAAUGUCUUCGGACCAAAGAUUUAUCGCCUUUGGAUGGGCCCGCGUUGGAUUAGCUAGUUGGUAGGGUAAAAGCCUACCAAGGCGACGAUCCAUAGCUGGUCUGAGAGGAUGAUCAGCCACACUGGGACUGAGACACGGCCCAGACUCCUACGGGAGGCAGCAGUGGGGAAUAUUGGACAAUGGGCGAAAGCCUGAUCCAGCAAUGUCGCGUGAGUGAUGAAGGCCUUAGGGUUGUAAAGCUCUUUUACCCGGGAUGAUAAUGACAGUACCGGGAGAAUAAGCUCCGGCUAACUCCGUG